RNAcentral lists this ribosomal RNA (439 nucleotides) under uncultured bacterium. RNAcentral's name for it is "partial 16S ribosomal RNA". It matches the Rfam family "Bacterial small subunit ribosomal RNA", at positions 338 to 795 of the family's 1533-position model. The record is from RNAcentral.
CCUACGGGAGGCAGCAGUGGGGAAUAUUGCACAAUGGGGGAAACCCUGCUGCAGCGACGCCGCGUGAGCGAUGCAGUAUUUCGGUAUGUAAAGCUCUAUCAGCAGGAAGAAGAUGACGGUACCUGACCAAGAAGCCCCGGCCAACUUCGGUCCAGCAGGCGGGGUAAUUCGGAGGGGGCAAGCGUUAACCGGCAUUUCUGGGUGUAACGGGAGCGGAGACGGCGAUGCAAGCCAGAUGUGAAAGCCCGGGGCGCAACCCCGGGGCUGCAUUUGGAACUGUGUGGCCGGAGUGUCGGAGAGGCAGGCGGAAUUCCUAGUGUAGCGGUGAAAUGCGUAGAUAUUAGGAGGAACACCAGUGGCGAAGGCGGCCUGCUGGACGAUGACUGACGUUGAGGCUCGAAAGCGUGGGGAGCAAACAGGAUUAGAUACCCCAGUAGUC